UGGGGAAUUUUGGACAAUGGGCGAAAGCCUGAUCCAGCAAUGCCGCGUGUGUGAAGAAGGCCUUCGGGUUGUAAAGCACUUUUGUCCGGAAAGAAAUCCUUGGCUCUAAUACAGUCGGGGGAUGACGGUACCGGAAGAAUAAGCACCGGCUAACUACGUGCCAGCAGCCGCGGUAAUACGUAGGGUGCAAGCGUUAAUCGGAAUUACUGGGCGUAAAGCGUGCGCAGGCGGUUUGCUAAGACCGAUGUGAAAUCCCCGGGCUCAACCUGGGAACUGCAUUGGUGACUGGCAGGCUAGAGUAUGGCAGAGGGGGGCAGAAUUCCACGUGUAGCAGUGAAAUGCGUAGAGAUGUGGAGGAAUACCGAUGGCGAAGGCAGCCCCCUGGGCCAAUACUGACGCUCAUGCACGAAAGCGUGGGGAGCAAACAGGAUUAGAUACCCUGGUAGUCCACGCCCUAAACGAUGUCAACUAGUUGUUGGGGAUUCAUUUCCUUAGUAACGUAGCUAACGCGUGAAGUUGACCGCCUGGGGAGUACGGUCGCAAGAUUAAAACUCAAAGGAAUUGACGGGGUCAUAGCUGUUUCCU
Molecule: ribosomal RNA, 585 nt
Filed under: uncultured bacterium
Lineage: Bacteria
Description: partial 16S ribosomal RNA
Rfam family: Bacterial small subunit ribosomal RNA
Source: RNAcentral